Molecule: ribosomal RNA, 1177 nt
Filed under: Proteus mirabilis
Lineage: Bacteria; Pseudomonadati; Pseudomonadota; Gammaproteobacteria; Enterobacterales; Morganellaceae
Also listed under: 1 other name
Description: bacterial LSU rRNA
Rfam family: Bacterial large subunit ribosomal RNA
Source: RNAcentral
GGGUUGUGAGGUUAAGCGAAUAAGCGUACACGGUGGAUGCCUAGGCAAUCAGAGGCGAUGAAGGACGUGCUAAUCUGCGAAAAGCGUCGGUAAGGUGAUAUGAACCGUUAUACCCGACGAUAUCCGAAUGGGGAAACCCAGUAUCCAAUGGAUACUAUCAUUAACUGAAUCCAUAGGUUAAUGAGGCGAACCGGGAGAACUGAAACAUCUCAGUACCCCGAGGAAAAGAAAUCAACCGAGAUUCCCCUAGUAGCGGCGAGCGAACGGGGAGCAGCCCAGAGUCUUAAUCAAUAGCAGUGUCAGGAGAACGGUCUGGAAAGUCCGGCAGUAAAGGGUGAUAGCCCCGUAUCUGAAGAUGCUGUUAUUGUGAACUCGACGAGUAGGGCGGGACACGUGUUAUCCUGUCUGAAUAUGGGGGGACCAUCCUCCAAGGCUAAAUACUCCUGAUUGACCGAUAGUGAACCAGUACCGUGAGGGAAAGGCGAAAAGAACCCCGGCGAGGGGAGUGAAAAAGAACCUGAAACCGUGUACGUACAAGCAGUAGGAGCCUCUUUAUGGGGUGACUGCGUACCUUUUGUAUAAUGGGUCAGCGACUUAUAUUCUGUAGCAAGGUUAACCGUAUAGGGGAGCCGUAGGGAAACCGAGUCUUAACUGGGCGAAUGAGUUGCAGGGUAUAGACCCGAAACCCGGUGAUCUAUCCAUGGGCAGGUUGAAGGUUGGGUAACACUAACUGGAGGACCGAACCGACUAAUGUUGAAAAAUUAGCGGAUGACUUGUGGAUGGGGGUGAAAGGCCAAUCAAACCGGGAGAUAGCUGGUUCUCCCCGAAAGCUAUUUAGGUAGCGCCUCGUGAACUCAUCUUCGGGGGUAGAGCACUGUUUCGACUAGGGGGUCAUCCCGACUUACCAACUCGAUGCAAACUGCGAAUACCGAAGAAUGUUAUCACGGGAGACACACGGCGGGUGCUAACGUCCGUCGUGAAGAGGGAAACAACCCAGACCGCCAGCUAAGGUCCCAAAGUCAUGGUUAAGUGGGAAACGAAGUGGGAAGGCUCAGACAGCCAGGAUGUUGGCUUAGAAGCAGCCAUCAUUUAAAGAAAGCGUAAUAGCUCACUGGUCGAGUCGGCCCGCGCGGAAGAUGUAACGGGGCUAAACCAUGCACCGAAGCUGCGGCAGCGA